Molecule: ribosomal RNA, 436 nt
Filed under: uncultured Anaerovorax sp.
Lineage: Bacteria; Bacillati; Bacillota; Clostridia; Peptostreptococcales; Anaerovoracaceae
Description: partial 16S ribosomal RNA
Rfam family: Bacterial small subunit ribosomal RNA
Source: RNAcentral
ACGGAAGGCAGCAGUGGGGGAUAUUGCACAAUGGGCGAAAGCUUGAUGCAGCAACGCCGCGUGAACGAAGAAGGUCUUUGGGCCGUAAAGUUCUGUCCUGGGGGAAGAAAAAAAUGACGGUACCCCAGAAGGAAGCCCCGGCCAACUACGUGCCAGCAGCCGCGGUAAUACGUAGGGGGCAAGCGUUGUCCGGAAUUAUUGGGCGUAAAGGGUACGCAGGCGGCCCGGAAAGCGCGUGGUGAAAGGCGGCGGCUCAACCGCCGUCAGCCAAGCGAACUGCCGGGCUUGAGCGCGGGAGAGGAAGGCGGAAUUCCCAGUGUAGCGGUGAAAUGCGUAGAUAUUGGGAGGAACACCGGUGGCGAAGGCGGCCUUCUGGACCGAGGCUGACGCUGAGGUACGAAAGCGUGGGGAGCAAACAGGAUUAGAUACCCUGGUA